This 605-nucleotide ribosomal RNA is filed under the name uncultured freshwater bacterium. RNAcentral describes it as "bacterial SSU rRNA". It matches the Rfam family "Bacterial small subunit ribosomal RNA", at positions 8 to 607 of the family's 1533-position model. The record is from RNAcentral.
AGAGUUUGAUCCUGGCUCAGGAUGAACGCUAGCGGCAGGCCUAAUACAUGCAAGUCGAACGGCAGCGGGUGUAGCAAUACAUGCCGGCGAGUGGCGCACGGGUGCGUAACGCGUAUGCAANCCUACCCAUAACUGGGGGAUAGCCCGGAGAAAUUCGGAUUAAUACCCCAUAAUAUAUCGGAUUGGCAUCUUUCUGAUAUUAAAGCUCAGGCGGUUAUGGAUGGGCAUGCGUGACAUUAGUUUGUUGGUGAGGUAACGGCUCACCAAGACUACGAUGUCUAGGGGUUCUGAGAGGAUGAUCCCCCACACUGGUACUGAGACACGGACCAGACUCCUACGGGAGGCAGCAGUAAGGAAUAUUGGGCAAUGGAGGCAACUCUGACCCAGCCAUGCCGCGUGAAGGAUGAAGGCCCUAUGGGUUGUAAACUUCUUUUGUAUGGGAAUAAACGCGGUUACGUGUAACCGUUUGAAUGUACCAUAAGAAUAAGCACCGGCUAACUCCGUGCCAGCAGCCGCGGUAAUACGGAGGGUGCAAGCGUUAUCCGGAUUUAUUGNGUUUAAAGGGAGCGUAGGCGGGAUUGUAAGUCAGUGGUGAAAGCCCGUAG